GCCAGCAUGGUGUAGUAGUUUGAGCAUUGGACUACAACUCUGGAAACCAGGGUUCAAAUCCCUGCUCAGCCA
Molecule: transfer RNA, 72 nt
Filed under: Phrynosoma platyrhinos (Desert horned lizard)
Lineage: Eukaryota; Metazoa; Chordata; Lepidosauria; Squamata; Phrynosomatidae
Description: tRNA-OTHER
Rfam family: tRNA (bases 9-72)
About the family: Transfer RNA (tRNA) molecules are approximately 80 nucleotides in length. Their secondary structure includes four short double-helical elements and three loops (D, anti-codon, and T loops). Further hydrogen bonds mediate the characteristic L-shaped molecular structure. tRNAs have two regions of fundamental functional importance: the anti-codon, which is responsible for specific mRNA codon recognition, and the 3' end, to which the tRNAs corresponding amino acid is attached (by aminoacyl-tRNA synthetases). tRNAs cope with the degeneracy of the genetic code in two manners: having more than one tRNA (with a specific anti-codon) for a particular amino acid; and 'wobble' base-pairing, i.e. permitting non-standard base-pairing at the 3rd anti-codon position.
Source: RNAcentral